UCCCUGCCUGGCGACGCGAGGCACCCUUCCAGUUCCUCCGCUGCCUAGGCCAGGCCUCUGGUUGGCACCUAAAGAGCUGCUGGCUACGGGGAGACUAGGGUGGCGGGAGCUAUCAUCCUCCUCCCUUAUUCUAUGAGGAAUCAAGUGGCUGAUAAACCUGUCGGUUCUCCUUAGCACCCGUUAGCCUCCAAAAAUGAUACCUGUGUUGGAGACUUCCUCGGUCAACCUGGCAUUCAAGCGGGCCUUGCCAGGGGAAACCGUCCCUACAAAAUGUUCCGUCACAAGGAAAGCUAGUACUGUUCGAUCACCGUGGAUGCAGUUAGGCUGACCAUUGAGCUGGUACUAACCUUCCGGCAAAGUCCACCGAAGGGCUCGACUUCCAGUUACCUUACACAAACUAUCAGUGGAUCCUCCUCGUAGGCGAUCGUCAGUCCCAACCCAAAGAACCAUGAUACAAGCCUUGGAGCCUCAUACCAACCAUAUUAUAGACUACGUAGCCGACCCACACUGCAUGUGGAAGAAAGUCUAUAAGCCUAAAGUAACCAGAAGCCGAAAAGCAAAAAAAAAACAUUUUAGAGCACUCUUGACCCUUGAGUCUCUUGUCACACUACAUAAGGCAUGUGUAUUUGUUCUCAGUGAGGUGUCGCCUCCCCACGUUCUUUGGGAUAACCUCGAGGAGUCGAUGGCUCAAGCCAUUGCCUCGACAUGUGGAAUAAAAUCGAGGGAGUGGGAGCCCCGAGAGGGACCGGGGAACGGACGGGGAGCAGAGAAUUGAUUCGGGUCUCCGAGGAGGCGAGGGCUUUGGCCGCCUAGUCCAAAUCUAUUCGGAUAAAAGCUAGUGGAGGUACGCCGGCCUCCUUUCGAGGCCUCCCCGGCAGACUGACAAGCUCGGGGACCCUCCUCCUCGGGCUACCUGCCCGGGAGCUUUGUAUACCUGUAUGGUGUACCACUUGCUCUCCUGAGCGAUCAUCGGAAGGUUCACUAAACUUUACACUAUCAUUGAUAUACAAGCAAUGAAGCAAUGCAGGAAGUGACAUAGUAAGAUUUAUUAAAAGGAAAAUUGUAGGGCAAGUAAAGCUAUCUAAUAUUUCCAUUUGAUCAAGCCCACCAAUCCAAUUUUAUCCAAUCAUCCUAGUUGUAAUAGAGCCUUUUACAGAUACAACUACUUCAGCAAUCAGUAGUACACAAAUUAAUACAGUCAUUACUGGGAUUUUAUCAAGCGUAUACUUCACAGUAACAAUAAAAUCAACAAAAUAUACUGAGACUAACUUAAUAUCAGCAUCAAGUAACAGUUUAUCAGUAACAAUAGGUACUGCAUCAGUGAUGAGUACACCAGUGAGUACAUUACAAAGUACAGACAGUAAUACACUAUUAAUAGCAGAAAGUUUUAUUACAGCAGUAUUUAUAUUACUGGUAAUUACUAUACUAGUAAUAUUAAUGGUAAGUGUAUUAGUGUGUAGGAAAAUAUGGGAUAAAACAUCAAAUGGAGAUGGUACUUCCAGUUCUGAUAAAAUAAAAGCUGAUAUAAAUCAACAACCAGAUGGUAGUGUUUAUUGGAUUCACCUUUUUUGCAUAGGCGAGUACUACUUAAUACCAAGUAUCAAUAACAGACAGAAUACACCAACAGCAUGAGCUUAUCCUGCUUAUGGAGUAAUUGGGGAACAAGAAAGUAAGAUUAUCUUAAUAAUAUUAACAUCAUGACACAGACUGUAAUACUGAUAUAUCUGCUAAUCCUGCAUACGGUGUUAUUUAAAGCAUGAACUUUAAAUUAUUAUUAUCAAUCAAUACAACUAUUAGUAUAGGAUCUGGUACCUCUACUAAUUAUUAACACUGGAGGAAUGGAAAGUAUCAAUGAAGAAUUAUUAGUGUAUGAUGAACCAAGAACAAUGUAUGAACAAGAGGUAUAAGUAUAUCUAUAUCAAGAGUAACAUACUGUCAACUGCCAAUUACCAAGUGAAUACAUUAUGUAUUGAACAUAGCUCUACUAGUACAAUUUAAUUGCAUUAAUUUGUGCUUGUGUAUUCUAUUAAUCUUUAAUACUUAAUACCAA
This 2050-nucleotide long non-coding RNA is filed under the name Amphimedon queenslandica. Its description in RNAcentral is "uncharacterized LOC109583229, transcript variant X1". Lineage: Eukaryota; Metazoa; Porifera; Demospongiae; Haplosclerida; Niphatidae. The record is from RNAcentral.